AAGCUAGAAGCGUGAAAACGUGGAUGGGAUUCUAUACUGUGGCAUCUGCUUUUCGAGAUAGACAUAAGAAAAAAAAUCGUGAUAUGAGGCAGUGGAAUUAAUCUAUCGCGAAUUGACCAGCGUUUACAAGCAAUCGGAAAUUGACUGGAAAAUAAUACACAAUGCAGGAUGCACUAGAGAUGAUACUGAUUUGCCAGACCAUGUUACCGCGCCUAAUGACCUCAAUCGAUUAAUCAGCGUAACAUUCAGAUCCUUUUUGACUGCUCUGCCGACUCCUCCUACGAUCGUAACAAUUGCAAGAUCCAGCGAAGACGAAUAUUGUCCGUCAGAGGACGUCGAUCAAAUUCAGAUGGGAGUGCUCGAAGAACUUCGUGAAUGUUUAGGAGAUAUCGACAUCCAAUUGGCUUAUCAAGAGGAGGAGCAAUCUUUUUAAACGUCAAAACAUGACAUAAUCACCCUUUCCUUUCCAACAUAUAAAUGUUAAUCGAAUAAUGUUCAUUUCAAUACAAUAAACGUUUUUACAAAAUAUAUUCGCCUCUCCGUUAAUCGUAUCUUCUGUCAGCCAUUCCGCGGUCCAUAAUAAAAAUAAAAUCUACCGGUUCGAG
Molecule: unclassified non-coding RNA, 605 nt
Filed under: Bombus terrestris (buff-tailed bumblebee)
Lineage: Eukaryota; Metazoa; Arthropoda; Insecta; Hymenoptera; Apidae
Description: misc RNA ENSBTSG00005023968.1
Source: RNAcentral